This 339-nucleotide long non-coding RNA is filed under the name Linum usitatissimum (flax). RNAcentral describes it as "long non-coding RNA (LUSI_LNC001845)". The record is from RNAcentral. Lineage: Eukaryota; Viridiplantae; Streptophyta; Magnoliopsida; Malpighiales; Linaceae.
AUUCGACAAAACUCUCCAAUCAGUACUGGUUCUGGAGUGGCGGUGACAUUAAAGGGUAUGAACUUACGACAAGAGUGAAACACCAAGACCUAGCCCGAUAACACCAAAUGAGACCUGCAAAGGAAGGAGGAACCAUUCGAUUAUCAAUAGAAAUAGAAUGUAGUUAAGGUGGGUGUUCAGAUAUUCCACUUUCUGUUCUUUGAUGUCAUCUUUCCACACUUCACUCUUUUAGAACUCAUUGGAUUCAGUAAUCCAAUUUUGAAACGAAAGCAACUUCUAGCAGACAAAAUUUCUAACCUAUAUGAAAAUAUUAAUAUAAUCCAAGGUUUCUCUAAAACA